CCAAAGAUGGCGGGCCUCCGUGCCCCCGUCCCCAACCCAUUGUUGACCAAAACCCUUUUUGCCUCGGGGGCAGAGCGUCCGCCGCCGCCCCCGGAGGACCAUUUAACGCUGUCUCUUUGCGUCGGAGUAUUGAUUAAAUAAAUGA
Molecule: unclassified non-coding RNA, 145 nt
Filed under: uncultured fungus
Lineage: Eukaryota; Fungi
Description: sequence contains ITS1, 5.8S rRNA gene
Source: RNAcentral